Long non-coding RNA from Haliotis rufescens (red abalone), 1474 nucleotides. RefSeq lists it as uncharacterized. The record is from RefSeq and is a predicted model, not a curated record. The transcript is spliced from 2 exons. Lineage: Eukaryota; Metazoa; Mollusca; Gastropoda; Lepetellida; Haliotidae.
GUGCAUAUUAUACACAAAUAAAUAAGUCUUGUGUACAUUGAUCAACCGGGAGGGGUGCUAAUUGGGAUUGUUCACUAGCCAAUAUAUUAGCAAAUAUCUCUGUGGGCGCUUAUUAGAGCAGGGCACUUAUUGGAUCAAAUAAGGUAUUUGUUUUCUCCUUUCACCUUUUGGUAGACACAGAUAAAAAAUCACAGAUCUCACAGUUGACCCCUCAGAAUAUAAAUGCGUUGAACAGUCCAGUAUUUCAUAGGCGUGCUGUUUGAAAAUGAAUCGGCAGCUCGACGUGUACGCCAGUGAUGUUAGUGUCACUGUGUGAUGCAACAACCUCGUUCAUUUACAGUCUACAUGCGCUGUCACAUCAACUGACAAUAUCAGGGCGUGGCGUAUUGUCAAAUUUGCAACUUCUGCGCUGGUCAUUAACUUGUGUGUCAACCAGUAGCUGCAUUACCAGUCCGUAACACUCUCCAGACCACAUUGUUUUAAUAACAUUAACAUCAGUUAGUUGGGCUAUUAAGUAGCUGCAGUACCACUCCGUGACACUUUCAAGACCACAUUGUUUUAAUAACAUUAACAUCAGUUAGUUGGGCCAUUAAGUUGAUAAUGUUUGUCGUGAGACAAGUUUUUGCUGCAACAGCUGAUAUGGCUUCAUAAUGGAUGAUUAAUCACUCUUAAUGACUUUUAUGGCUUAGAUAUGACAGCAUGGUAACCUGCUUAUGUAUUGAGUUUGUUGAAAGCAGGGCACGAUAAAUCAUUGCUAUUAUUUAUGCUAAGACCUACCGUAAAGAGAUGGUAUACCACAGGUAUCAGUAGAGUAAACCACAGGUAUUCGUGGAGUAAACCACAGGUAUUCAUGGAGUACACCCCAGGUAUUCGUGGUGUAGUCCGCAGGUAUUCGUGGAGUACACCACAGGUACUCGUGGAGUAAACCACAGGUAUUUGUGGAGUAAACUACAGGUAUUCGUGGAGUAAACUACAGGUAUUUGUGGAGUAAACUACAGGUAUUCGUGGAGUACACCACAGGUACUCGUGGAGUAAACCACAGGUAUUCGUGGAGUAAACUACAGGUAUUCGUGGAGUAAACCACAGGUAUUUGUGGAGUAAACUACAGGUAUUCAUGAUGUAAACCGCAGGUAUUCGUGGAGUAAACCACAGGUAUUUGUGGAGUUAACUACAGGUAUCAGUGGUGUAGACCGCAGGUAUUCGUGGAGUAAACUACAGGUAUUCAUGAUGUAAACCACAGGUAUUCGUGGAGUAAACCGCAGGUAUUCGUGGAGUAAACCACAGGUAUUUGUGGAGUUAACUACAGGUAUCAGUGGUGUAGACCGCAGGUAUUAGUGGUGUACGCUGGCCACCCAGUAUGUGUGUGCCUGACGCUGGUUGACUGACUGCAGCGCUGUGUGAUGUGUGUCAGUAGUGUGUCAUCAGUUUGUCGUGUGGAAGGAUUUGUGUGCCAGAAUAAACAUUUUUAGCAAGA